RNAcentral lists this ribosomal RNA (1386 nucleotides) under Staphylococcus aureus. RNAcentral's name for it is "partial 23S ribosomal RNA". It matches the Rfam family "Bacterial large subunit ribosomal RNA", at positions 231 to 1615 of the family's 2925-position model. The record is from RNAcentral. Lineage: Bacteria; Bacillati; Bacillota; Bacilli; Caryophanales; Staphylococcaceae.
UCGAUUCCCUUAGUAGCGGCGAGCGAAACGGGAAGAGCCCAAACCAACAAGCUUGCUUGUUGGGGUUGUAGGACACUCUAUACGGAGUUACAAAGGACGACAUUAGACGAAUCAUCUGGAAAGAUGAAUCAAAGAAGGUAAUAAUCCUGUAGUCGAAAAUGUUGUCUCUCUUGAGUGGAUCCUGAGUACGACGGAGCACGUGAAAUUCCGUCGGAAUCUGGGAGGACCAUCUCCUAAGGCUAAAUACUCUCUAGUGACCGAUAGUGAACCAGUACCGUGAGGGAAAGGUGAAAAGCACCCCGGAAGGGGAGUGAAAUAGAACCUGAAACCGUGUGCUUACAAGUAGUCAGAGCCCGUUAAUGGGUGAUGGCGUGCCUUUUGUAGAAUGAACCGGCGAGUUACGAUUUGAUGCAAGGUUAAGCAGUAAAUGUGGAGCCGUAGCGAAAGCGAGUCUGAAUAGGGCGUUUAGUAUUUGGUCGUAGACCCGAAACCAGGUGAUCUACCCUUGGUCAGGUUGAAGUUCAGGUAACACUGAAUGGAGGACCGAACCGACUUACGUUGAAAAGUGAGCGGAUGAACUGAGGGUAGCGGAGAAAUUCCAAUCGAACCUGGAGAUAGCUGGUUCUCUCCGAAAUAGCUUUAGGGCUAGCCUCAAGUGAUGAUUAUUGGAGGUAGAGCACUGUUUGGACGAGGGGCCCCUCUCGGGUUACCGAAUUCAGACAAACUCCGAAUGCCAAUUAAUUUAACUUGGGAGUCAGAACAUGGGUGAUAAGGUCCGUGUUCGAAAGGGAAACAGCCCAGACCACCAGCUAAGGUCCCAAAAUAUAUGUUAAGUGGAAAAGGAUGUGGCGUUGCCCAGACAACUAGGAUGUUGGCUUAGAAGCAGCCAUCAUUUAAAGAGUGCGUAAUAGCUCACUAGUCGAGUGACACUGCGCCGAAAAUGUACCGGGGCUAAACAUAUUACCGAAGCUGUGGAUUGUCCUUUGGACAAUGGUAGGAGAGCGUUCUAAGGGCGUUGAAGCAUGAUCGUAAGGACAUGUGGAGCGCUUAGAAGUGAGAAUGCCGGUGUGAGUAGCGAAAGACGGGUGAGAAUCCCGUCCACCGAUUGACUAAGGUUUCCAGAGGAAGGCUCGUCCGCUCUGGGUUAGUCGGGUCCUAAGCUGAGGCCGACAGGCGUAGGCGAUGGAUAACAGGUUGAUAUUCCUGUACCACCUAUAAUCGUUUUAAUCGAUGGGGGGACGCAGUAGGAUAGGCGAAGCGUGCGAUUGGAUUGCACGUCUAAGCAGUAAGGCUGAGUAUUAGGCAAAUCCGGUACUCGUUAAGGCUGAGCUGUGAUGGGGAGAAGACAUUGUGUCUUCGAGUCGUUGAUUUCACACUGCCGAGAAA